Molecule: ribosomal RNA, 460 nt
Filed under: uncultured bacterium
Lineage: Bacteria
Description: partial 16S ribosomal RNA
Rfam family: Bacterial small subunit ribosomal RNA
Source: RNAcentral
CCUACGGGAGGCAGCAGUGAGGGAUAUUGGUCAAUGGGCGCGAGCCUGAACCAGCCAAGUAGCGUGAAGGAUGACUGCCCUCCGGGUUGUAAACUUCGUUUAUAAAGGAAUAAAGUGAGGCACGUGAGCCUUUUUGUAUGUACAUUAUGAUGCAGGAUCGGCUAACUCCGUGCCAGCAGCCGCGGUAAUACGGAGGAUCCGAGCGUUAUCCGGAUUUAUUGGGUUUAAAGGGAGCGUAGGUGGGUCGUUAAGUCAGUUGUGAAAGUUUGCGGCUCAACCGUAAAAUUGCAAUUGAUACUGGCAGUCUUGAGUAAAGUUGAGGCAGGCGGAAUUCGCGGUGUAGCGGUGAAAUGCUUAGAUAUCACGAAGAACACCGAUUGCGAAGGCAGCUUACUAAGCUGCAACUGACAUUGAUGCUCGAAAGUGUGGGUAGCAAACAGGAUUAGAUACCCCGGUAGUC